AUUGAACGCUGGCGGCAGGCCUAACACAUGCAAGUCGAGCGCGAAAGUUCUUCGGAAUGAGUAAAGCGGCGGACGGGUGAGUAAUACAUGGGAAUCUGCCUGGUAGUGGGGGACAACGUUUCGAAAGGAACGCUAAUACCGCAUACGCCCUACGGGGGAAAGGGGGGGAUCUUCGGACCUCUCGCUAUCAGAUGGGCCCA
RNAcentral lists this ribosomal RNA (200 nucleotides) under uncultured bacterium. RNAcentral describes it as "partial 16S ribosomal RNA". It matches the Rfam family "Bacterial small subunit ribosomal RNA", at positions 30 to 233 of the family's 1533-position model. The record is from RNAcentral.